AGUGAACGCUGGCGGCAGGCCUAACACAUGCAAGUCGAGCGGAUGAAGAGUGAUUGCUCGCGGAUUCAGCGGCGGACUGGUGAGUAAUGCCUAGGAAUCUGCCUAGCAGUGGUUGAUAAGGUCCGGACACGGGCGCACAUACCGCAUACGUCCUUACGGACAAAGUGGGGAAUCUUCGGACCUUACGCCCUCAGAUGAGUCUAGGUCGGAUUGGCUAGUUGGCGGGGUAAAGGCCUACCAAGGCGACGAUCCGUAGCUGGUCUGAGAGGAUGAUCAGCCACACUGGAACUGAGACACGGUCCAGACUCCUACGGGAGGCAGCAGUGGGGAAUAUUGGACAAUGGGCGAAAGCCUGAUCCAGCCAUACCGCGUGUGUGAAGAAGGUCUUCGGAUUGUAAAGCACUUUUGGUUGGGAGGAAGGGCAGUAAGUUAAUACCUUGCUGUUUUGACGUUACCCAAAGAAUAAGCACCGGCUAACUUCGUG
This 484-nucleotide ribosomal RNA is filed under the name uncultured bacterium. RNAcentral's name for it is "partial 16S ribosomal RNA". It matches the Rfam family "Bacterial small subunit ribosomal RNA", at positions 29 to 507 of the family's 1533-position model. The record is from RNAcentral.